GUACCAUAGUGCGAAAUAAAGCCAACCACAAGAAGUCAGCUGAGACCAUAGUAGCGAAGAAACUUCUGUAAUGGAAGUGGAGCGAAGGGU
Non-coding RNA from Solobacterium moorei F0204, 90 nucleotides. Lineage: Bacteria; Bacillati; Bacillota; Erysipelotrichia; Erysipelotrichales; Erysipelotrichaceae. The record is from Rfam.